This 2424-nucleotide ribosomal RNA is filed under the name Triticum aestivum (bread wheat). Its description in RNAcentral is "partial small subunit ribosomal RNA". The record is from RNAcentral. Lineage: Eukaryota; Viridiplantae; Streptophyta; Magnoliopsida; Poales; Poaceae.
AUGCCUCUCCUCCUCAUAGUUUUCACCUCACUCUUCUUCUACCUGAGCGCCCCUCCAAGUUUCGCCGCCGCGACGGACACCAUCUUACCCGGCCAAGCACUUGCCGUCAACGACAAGCUCGUCUCCGAAAACGGCAGGUACGCCCUUGGCUUCUUUGAAACAAGCAACACCAAAUCCUCCCAGAGCACCAGUAGCUGGUACCUAGGCAUAUGGUUCAACACAGUCCCCAUAUUUGCUUCCGCCUGGGUUGCAAACAGAGAGAAGCCAAUCAAAAACACCGCCUCGCUACAACUCACAGUCUCCAGCGAUGGCAACCUCGUCAUCCAAAACCGGUCCACCAAGUCCAUAUUCUGGUCCACCCAAGCAAACGUCAGAAUAAACGGCACCAUUGCUAUGCUCUUGAGCAAUGGAAACCUCAUCCUAAGGAACUCCUCAAACUCGUCGCACAUCUUGUGGCAAAGUUUUGACCACCCCACAGACACACUUCUACCAGGGGCGAAGCUUGGAUUAGACAAGCUAACCGGCAUGAAUCGCCGUCUGGUUUCGUGGAAAAACAGGAUCAACCCGGCUAGCGGUGCAUACUGCGAUGGGUUAGACCCCAGCGGUGCAGAUCAGUUCUUGCUUUCACGGCUCGACUCUUCCAUGUCAUAUUGGUCCAGCGGUGUGUGGAACGGGGAAUCCUUUGUGUCGGCUCCAGGGUAUAGAAGCCCGAACCGGGCUUCUUACAAUUUGACUUUUGUUGACAAUGAACGAGAGAAGUAUGUUGUUGAGAGCUUAACCGACGAGAAUAUUGUUUUUCGUCAUGUGAUUGAUGCCUCUGGUCAGGCCAAGGGGUACGUUUGGUAUGAGGGCUUGCAAGACUGGAUAUUGGCCUACAGCCAACCAAAAGCUCAGUGUGAUGUCUACGCAGGUUGUGGGCCUUUCACAAUCUGCAACGAUGACGCCCUUCCAAACUGCAUCUGCAUGGAUGGCUUCACCAUAACAUCCCCUCUGGAUUGGGAGCUCGAAGAUCGAACCGCUGGGUGCUCGAGAAAAACUCCAUUGCACUGCAUUACUAACAAGAACACAACAUACUCGACAGAUCGGUUCGCCUCUUUGCCCUGUGUUAGGUUGCCCAAAAAUGGCAGAAAAGUAGGGAUUGCCACAAGCGCCCAAGAGUGCGCACAAAUUUGCCUAAAUAAUUGCUCUUGCACCGCUUAUUCCUUCGGGAAUGAAGGAUGCUAUAUUUUGCAUCACGAAUUGAUCAACAUAGCACAAUUACAAUGUGGUGGCACAACAAAGAAUUCAGAUAGAGAAACACUUUACUUUCGCCUUUCUGCUCAAGAUGUUCAAAGUUUGAGAAAUAACAGAAGGAAGACUGUUGGAGUUGUGGUUGGCACGGGCCUUUCCGCUCUAGGCUUAUUUGGACUCGGCCUCCUCCUAAUGAUUUGGAGAAACAAAAGGAAGAGAUCUUCUCACAAAAUUUAUGGUAGUAAUGGGGGUAGAAUCAUUGCAUUUAAAUACAGUGACUUACAACGAGCAACGAAACAUUUCACAGAUAAAUUGGGGGAAGGUAGUUUUGGUUCUGUGUUCAAGGGGUUUCUAAGUGACUCGCAUGCCAUAGCAGUGAAGAUGCUUGAUGGUGCUUAUCAAGGAGAGAAGCAAUUCCGAGCCGAAGUGAGCUCGGUUGGAGCCAUCCAACACAUCAAUUUGGUCAAGCUAGUUGGUUUUUGCUGCCAUGGUCCGAAAAGACUGCUGGUUUAUGAACACAUGCCAAAUCGGUCGCUUGACAUCCAUCUUUUUAAAGACAACUCCACGAUAUUGAAUUGGACUACCAGGUAUCAGAUAGCCCUCGGAGUUGCUAGAGGGUUAGCUUACAUGCAUGAGAGCUGUCGAGAUUACAUCAUACAUUGUGAUAUCAAGCCAGAAAACAUACUUCUCGAUGCUUUAUUUGUUCCUAAGGUAGCAGAUUUUGGGAUGGCAAAGAUUUUGGGAAGGGAUUUUAGUCGGGUACUGACCACAGCCAGAGGCACGAUAGGGUACCUUGCACCUGAAUGGAUUUAUGGUGUUGCUAUCACAGCAAAAGUUGAUGUUUAUAGCUAUGGGAUGGUGUUGCUAGAAAUAAUAUCUGGAAGGAGAAACUCGGAUGCAUCAUGUUCCAGUGGUGGCGACCUUGGUGUUUUUUUCCCUGUGCAUGCCGCGCGUAAGCUUCUUGAAGGAGACAUCGAGAGUUUAGUAGAUCACAAAUUGCAAGGUGAUGUCAAUCUCGAUGAGGUUGAAUUAGCUUGCAAGGUUGCAUGUUGGUGCAUACAAGAUGAUGAAUUCGAUCGGCCAACAAUGGGAGAGGUGGUUCAGAUUCUUGAGGGACAGGUUGAAACCAGGAUGCCACCGAUGCCAAGAUUACUUCAAGCUGUGGCUGGAAGCUCCUCUUCAACGUGUUCGUAA